UGGGGAAUAUUGGGGCAAUGGACGCAAGUCUGACCCAGCAACGCCGCGUGAAGGAAGAAGGCUUUCGGGUUGUAAACUUCUUUUAAGGGGGAACAGUAGAAGACGGUACCUGAUGAAUAAGCCACGGCUAACUACGUGCCAGCAGCCGCGGUAAUACGUAGGUGGCAAGCGUUAUCCGGAUUUACUGGGUGUAAAGGGCGCGUAGGCGGGGAUGCAAGUCAGAUGUGAAAUCUAUGGGCUUAACCCAUAAACUGCAUUUGAAACUGUAUCUCUCGAGUGUCGGAGAGGUAGACGGAAUUCCUAGUGUAGCGGUGAAAUGCGUAGAUAUUAGGAGGAACACCAGUGGCGAAGGCGGUCUACUGGACGAUAACUGACGCUGAGGCGCGAAAGCGUGGGGAGCAAACAGGAUUAGA
This 413-nucleotide ribosomal RNA is filed under the name uncultured Clostridium sp. RNAcentral's name for it is "bacterial SSU rRNA". It matches the Rfam family "Bacterial small subunit ribosomal RNA", at positions 355 to 782 of the family's 1533-position model. Lineage: Bacteria; Bacillati; Bacillota; Clostridia; Eubacteriales; Clostridiaceae. The record is from RNAcentral.